Molecule: ribosomal RNA, 254 nt
Filed under: Staphylococcus aureus
Lineage: Bacteria; Bacillati; Bacillota; Bacilli; Caryophanales; Staphylococcaceae
Description: partial 23S ribosomal RNA
Rfam family: Bacterial large subunit ribosomal RNA
Source: RNAcentral
CCAACAAGCUUGCUUGUUGGGGUUGUAGGACACUCUAUACGGAGUUACAAAGGACGACAUUAGACGAAUCAUCUGGAAAGAUGAAUCAAAGAAGGUAAUAAUCCUGUAGUCGAAAAUGUUGUCUCUCUUGAGUGGAUCCUGAGUACGACGGAGCACGUGAAAUUCCGUCGGAAUCUGGGAGGACCAUCUCCUAAGGCUAAAUACUCUCUAGUGACCGAUAGUGAACCAGUACCGUGAGGGAAAGGUGAAAAGCA